CCUACGGGCGGCAGCAGUGGGGAAUAUUGGACAAUGGGGGGAACCCUGAUCCAGCCAUGCCGCGUGUGUGAAGAAGGCCCUCGGGUUGUAAAGCACUUUCAGUGAGGAAGAACGCCUGGUGGUUAAUACCCAUCAGGAAAGACAUCACUCACAGAAGAAGCACCGGCUAACUCCGUGCCAGCAGCCGCGGUAAUACGGAGGGUGCGAGCGUUAAUCGGAAUUACUGGGCGUAAAGCGCGCGUAGGUGGCUUGAUAAGCCGGUUGUGAAAGCCCCGGGCUCAACCUGGGAACGGCAUCCGGAACUGUCAAGCUAGAGUGCAGGAGAGGAAGGUAGAAUUCCCGGUGUAGCGGUGAAAAGCGUAGAGAUCGGGAGGAAUACCAGUGGCGAAGGCGGCCUUCUGGACUGACACUGACACUGAGGUGCGAAAGCGUGGGUAGCAAACAGGAUUAGAUACCCCUGUAGUC
This 465-nucleotide ribosomal RNA is filed under the name Vreelandella stevensii. RNAcentral describes it as "partial 16S ribosomal RNA". It matches the Rfam family "Bacterial small subunit ribosomal RNA", at positions 338 to 795 of the family's 1533-position model. Lineage: Bacteria; Pseudomonadati; Pseudomonadota; Gammaproteobacteria; Oceanospirillales; Halomonadaceae. The record is from RNAcentral.